Heterocephalus glaber (naked mole-rat) is the source of this 506-nucleotide long non-coding RNA. RefSeq lists it as uncharacterized. NCBI's taxonomy places the organism in Eukaryota, Metazoa, Chordata, Mammalia, Rodentia, Bathyergidae. The record is from RefSeq and is a predicted model, not a curated record.
UUAUGUAUUGCACUCCUCACAACUUCUAACAUAUGGUAACACAACUUCUUACCUGGUACAUGCAGGCCUCCAAGGUCGCAAGUUGGGCGGAACAUGCCCAAUUAGCCCGCACCCCGGCAAUCCACUGGACACCCCCCACCCCCGCUCCUCUGUACAGCCACCUGGUUCCACACUACAAAGAUGCAGAGGACACAGGACCACCAGACCACUGUACUGGGUGGACUAAGAAGGACCAGACUUACCCUCUAGCUUGAAAUAACAGCAACAACAACAACAAAAAGCUACUGGCCAACAUGAAAUGAUAUUUCAAGACAUGGGAUACAGAACAACAAAGAACAGUGUUCCUCACAAGGUGGGCAAAACAAGCUCACUACUAUGUUAUCUCUGAAUAACUGGAGAGAAAGCAAGAAAGCCAUUCAAAUAUAUUAGCAUAUCCUCGCCAGGUUUGAUGGAGAUCCUUACUGAGAACUAGGGAGCUGGUAAGUGAGUAAAGGUUUAAAAAUCAG